GCUGUACUUGAAGCAAUUUUUUUUAUAUCUAUUGUAAAAAAAAAGUUGCAUCUUGAACAGCAG
RNAcentral lists this microRNA precursor (63 nucleotides) under Monodelphis domestica (gray short-tailed opossum). RNAcentral describes it as "microRNA mdo-mir-7389 precursor". The record is from miRBase by way of RNAcentral. Lineage: Eukaryota; Metazoa; Chordata; Mammalia; Didelphimorphia; Didelphidae.